UAUAAUUGCGUUUACAUAUAUAUGUAAUAAGAAUCACAUAUGUUUAUACAUUUCUACCAUGUUGUCUGAAAGUGAUGAUUUUGGUGAGUGCUUUGUUUCUGAUGUUUCUAAUCGAGUUAUUGAACUGGAGACAUACUAAAGCAUUCUGUUAAGAUAAAAUCAAUUUAGUACUCAAGAGACAAUAUUUAUACAAAAUGUAAAAACAAGUAGUUUCUUCAACAAGAGAAGAUAUUAUUGGUUCAAGUAAAGCAAACGAUGCCCUUGGAGACUUGUACAUAAAUAUUUACUAGGAUAUUUCACGAUUGCAGCGGGUACCAUAGUUGCAGCGUGUUGCCACAACGUUCGGAUUAUCGAUGCAAUUACCGUAAAUUGAUUCCUCACAUAUCUUUGCUGUAUCCCCCGGCGCGUUUAUAGAUAGAUGUUUGCCAGCAAGAAUCAUAGUGCUUGUUUCUGAUU
RNAcentral lists this long non-coding RNA (456 nucleotides) under Solanum tuberosum (potato). RNAcentral describes it as "long non-coding RNA (STUB_LNC003256)". Lineage: Eukaryota; Viridiplantae; Streptophyta; Magnoliopsida; Solanales; Solanaceae. The record is from RNAcentral.